GUACACUCCUGCGGGAGGCAGCAGUGGGGAAUAUUGGACAAUGGGCGCAAGCCUGAUCCAGCCAUGCCGCGUGAGUGAUGAAGGCCCUAGGGUUGUAAAGCUCUUUCACCGGUGAAGAUAAUGACGGUAACCGGGGAAGAAGCCCCGGCUAACUUCGUGCCAGCAGCCGCGGUAAUACGAAGGGGGCUAGCGUUGUUCGGAUUUACUGGGCGUAAAGCGCACGUAGGCGGACUAUUAAGUCAGGGGUGAAAUCCCGGGGCUCAACCCCGGAACUGCCUUUGAUACUGGUAGUCUUGAGUUCGAGAGAGGUGAGUGGAAUUCCGAGUGUAGAGGUGAAAUUCGUAGAUAUUCGGAGGAACACCAGUGGCGAAGGCGGCUCACUGGCUCGAUACUGACGCUGAGGUGCGAAAGCGUGGGGAGCAAACAGGAUUAGAAACCCGUGUAGUCCCAUG
Molecule: ribosomal RNA, 452 nt
Filed under: uncultured organism
Description: partial 16S ribosomal RNA
Rfam family: Bacterial small subunit ribosomal RNA
Source: RNAcentral